This 400-nucleotide ribosomal RNA is filed under the name uncultured bacterium. Its description in RNAcentral is "bacterial SSU rRNA". It matches the Rfam family "Bacterial small subunit ribosomal RNA", at positions 355 to 752 of the family's 1533-position model. The record is from RNAcentral.
UGAGGAAUAUUGGUCAAUGGAGGCAACUCUGAACCAGCCAUGCCGCGUGAAGGAUGAAGGUCCUCUGGAUUGUAAACUUCUUUUAUAGAAGAAGAAACCCCAGUAUUCUUACUGGGUUGACGGUACUCUAUGAAUAAGCACCGGCUAACUCCGUGCCAGCAGCCGCGGUAAUACGGAGGGUGCAAGCGUUAUCCGGAUUCACUGGGUUUAAAGGGAGCGUAGGUGGGUCGGUAAGUCAGUGGUGAAAUCCCCGAGCUUAACUUGGGAACUGCCAUUGAUACUAUCGAUCUUGAAUUCUGUGGAGGUAAGCGGAAUAUAUCAUGUAGCGGUGAAAUGCUUAGAUAUGAUAUAGAACACCGAUAGCGAAGGCAGCUUACUACGCAGACAUUGACACUGAGGC